This 73-nucleotide transfer RNA is filed under the name Candidatus Hodgkinia cicadicola. Its description in RNAcentral is "tRNA-Thr". It matches the Rfam family "tRNA". Rfam says of the family: Transfer RNA (tRNA) molecules are approximately 80 nucleotides in length. Their secondary structure includes four short double-helical elements and three loops (D, anti-codon, and T loops). Lineage: Bacteria; Pseudomonadati; Pseudomonadota; Alphaproteobacteria; Hyphomicrobiales. The record is from RNAcentral.
CGCUCUUGUGGUUUAAUGGCAGAACGUUUGACUUGUAAUCAGAAGGUAAAAGUUCGAUUCUUUUUAAGAGCGG